GGACCUCUAGAAGUACAAGGUGCACCGGGGUCGGAAACAAGUCCCGCAACAGCGUAGGCAGGCAAAGUGGAACGAGCAUCAGGUGCGCCCGACGCCAUGUCUACGCCAUUACGGUCGCCGCCCAAAUUAAACGGGGCGGGGCUAAACAUUUUAGCUAACUGAGAAGGGCCUACCCUAAUACAGCAAUGACGCAGUCACUGCCGCGGAUAGGGGGAGAGCUUGAAGUAGCUGCUCUACCUCAGUCGGGUCCAGCACACCCGUUCUAACCUCUGCAACAACAAUGAGCGAGGCAACCAAGGACAAAACAAUACAGAUGAU
RNAcentral lists this long non-coding RNA (318 nucleotides) under Volvox carteri. RNAcentral describes it as "long non-coding RNA (VCAR_LNC003594)". Lineage: Eukaryota; Viridiplantae; Chlorophyta; Chlorophyceae; Chlamydomonadales; Volvocaceae. The record is from RNAcentral.